AGUAAUGAUUAACAGGGACAGUCAGGGGCACUCGUAUUCCGUCGAGAGAGGUGAAAUUCUCAGACCAAUGGAAGACGAACCACUGCGAAAGCAUUUGCCAGGGAUGUUUUCACUGAUCAAGAACGAAAGUUAGGGGAUCGAAGACGAUCAGAUACCGUCGUAGUCUUAACCAUAAACCAUGCCGACUAGGGAUUGGAGGGUGUUCGUUUCGACCUCUUCAGCACCUUACGGGAAACUAAAGUCUUUGGGUUCCGGGGGGAGUAUGGUCGCAAGGCUGAAACUUAAAGGAAUUGACGGAAGGGCACCACCAGGAGUGGA
Molecule: ribosomal RNA, 318 nt
Rfam family: Eukaryotic small subunit ribosomal RNA